Ailuropoda melanoleuca (giant panda) is the source of this 4045-nucleotide long non-coding RNA. RefSeq lists it as uncharacterized. The transcript has 3 exons. The record is from RefSeq and is a predicted model, not a curated record. Lineage: Eukaryota; Metazoa; Chordata; Mammalia; Carnivora; Ursidae.
CGCAGGGGGUGGCGGGGGGCGAGUGGAGGCGCGUGUUCCUCGUGUCUGAGGGAGGGGACUGCUCGCGUCGGCCUGGUGGUCGACCCUGGCCCGCGGGGUGACGCGGGGGUCUCCGGUGCCACCUGCCCCAGCCUGGGCCGCGGGGCCCCGGACGAGGGAGGAGGAGGGGACUUGGGCCGAAGUCAGGCUCCGACGCCGGGGCGGGGCUGCAGCAGGCUCGGCGGCCGGGCCGGCGGGGCCAGCGCGGGGGUCUGGGGAGGGCGUAGAUAGCGGAUGAGACUCUUCCUACAUCACGUUGUGUCACUCUUUCCCCAGGGUUUCCUCAGAAAACGAGAACUUUCCAGCCCCCGGCGAUUAGAUGCAGGCGGGCGGCGUUUGGCCAUUUCCUCCUGGUCGGUGAGAACCCUCAGAGCGCGCUCAGUUUGGGGGAUCCAGGUGAGUUCACUGGAAGAUGCGUGUGCGGGGUCAGCGCGUGCCGCGUUCUUUUCUGCGUGGUUCCGUGUACCUGCGGUGUAAUUGUUGGGGGCUUGGAACUUUGUGGGUGCCUUUGGUUUCAUUUACUCAGCUGUGUAACUCUGAAUGCUAACCUGCUUAAGACCCUGUUGUGUAUGGAUAUAAAUAAAAGGGGUCUGUCCCCAAGGAGACUUUUCACGCACUUUAUGGUCUUUGUCCCCAGUGACCUUAUGUGUGAUGUGUCGCCUCUGCCGCCGAGAUGCAUAGUUGGCGGCACAGAAGAGUGACCGAGCCACUCGGGGUUCUCUGUAGGAAGUGUGAGUACUGGGGGCACUGCUCACCCCAGAGGAGCAUGAGCUGUCCAGGAGUGGGGGCACCUGGAGGGAGGUGACCAUUGUCUCCGUGAUCUAAGAGGAAUGGGGGUGGCUAGUGUAAUUCAGGGUGGCGGUCACCUUGUGCAGACCUCACUUUGACUAGAAUUUCCCCAGAAGUGACUGCUGGCCUCAGGCCUGGUCGCCGGUGGCUGCCGGGCGCUGCCCACUGCUUCCUCACCUGCGUCUCUGGCCCCUUGCGGGGGCCGUCCCCGAAAAAUUCUCCCAAGCCUUCCUGUCUUUUGACCGUUCGGCACAUCUUGAUGUGAGAAAAGGAAAAACCACGUCAGUGGUGGUUCCCCUAUGUCGUGCUGCCUUCGCGUUCCAUGUUAGGGUGACACGUAUGUUUUCACGCGGCCUAGAAAGGUUAUCCUGACCUUCAGACCUAGGCGUGCCACACCCAGGGUUCCUGCCUGUCCUUCUUGAUUGUGUCCGUGUUUUCGAUGUACUCUCUGACUCUUUUGACUUAGCAUCCUCUGGCCCAACACUCCUCUUGUCCAGCUCAACUCCCGGGAGGGUCUGGCCUGCGAGUGCCCAGAGCCAAGAGUGUCACUUCAGACCUUGCCAGGGAAGCUGUCAGUGGGCUUCGUCACAGACCCAUAGUCCGAGCAACCGCCGCCAUGGAGGGAGGCACGGCCACCCCGGGAGACGGCAGCUCGCGUGUUGCACCGAAGGCAGAAGCACCCAUGUUCUCCGCAGCCCGAGGAGUUAGUGUGGGGCUUUCACGUCCCAGCUCUGCCCCUGGCCUGCUGUGUAACCUCAGGCUGGCCACUUCCCUGUUUCUUAGUAAGACAGGGACCGUGAUGACGGUGACUCCCAAAGGCGGGCGCUUGUGAGGGGUUGGAGAGCAGAUCAUGGGAAGUGCUCAGGAGCGCUUCAGACCCGUGAAGUCGCCCGUUCUCGGAUUUUCAGGACCUCUCUCGGUGUGUCCAGCGGCGAGCUUCCAGAGCGCUGCCGUGCGGGCGGGUGCUGGCACGCGAGGUGCUGCCUGCCCCAGGAGCGGCCUACCUGCUACCAGGCGUGGGGGCUGGGACGGGUUUGCUGCAGGCCCUUGGCUUUCCAGCCCGCUUGUGUUCACUUUUGGGCCAGAAGCUUUAGCUCCUUGGCCCCCUGAGCAGGAACACCGUGUUGCCAGCACGGAAAGUGAUGACGUGACGUGCUUCGUAUUGAUAGAGUCACGUGUGAUAUGCAGGUCCCUCUUUCGCGUUCUCAUUUGGCAUUGGCGUCGACGGAGGAGGGUGCUUGGGUGUCCCCAGUGUGUGCGCGCAGCUUGGUCUGAAACCUCUCGGGGCGGGAGAGCCUGCCGAGUGCAGGGGAAAGACGGAUGAGGAGAGAGCUGCUUGGACACAGCGGCGUGGGCUGAGAUCCUGCAGGCUUCCGUGGCAGCCCCUCACCCCUCCAGCUGCUCCCCAGUGUGGGUGUUUCACAUUGAACCUCUGCCCGUUUCCUCUGUGGCCGCACCCCGAGACGACAGCCUCCAUCUGUCCUGCACCCCGAUGCGGUGUGCUGGGUGCUGCUGGCGACGGGAGGGAAGCCCGGAACCCCCAGGGGGACGCUCGGGAGGAUGUUGCGUGUGGCCGAGGCCAUACCUGAGAAUAUGCCCCAGCUGUCUCCUGCUCGGUCACUAGGUUGCAGCUGGCCUGGGCGUGGCCGUGGUGUACUUGCUUCCCCCAGAGAGCACGGAUCUAAAAUAGGCUGCAGUAUGAUGCGGAUGGCUGCCGCGGUUCUGGGUUUUGUUCCUCUGGAUUAUGUAAGAGGGUUGAGGUAGGCAGGAGUCCAGUCGCUUCAAAGCACUGGGCCUUUUAAUAAUAGCAGUGGAUAAUGAAAUGCGCAGUCUGUAAGAAGUAAUUUUUUUUAACGUUAAAAAUGGCCGUGGGUCGCAAGAGGCCUGUGGCAGAAAACAGAACUAAAAAACAGCUACAGCACAGCAGGGUUUGGAACUUUCCCUCUUUGUCCACUAGAGGACGCCAUCCUGAGGAGCCACCCAGUUCUCGGUGGUAACUCGGUCCACUUUUAGUUUUUCAAUUUGGCCAAGCCCUUAUUUCACCAGAAAGUGCUGCAGAAGGUUAAUCGGCAGGGUUGGGCUCCUUGUUAGGGCUCUGCCGGGAGGUCCCCGUUGCACACAGUUCCUGGGAAGUGUCCAUCGUGUCAUGGAUGAGCUGAACCCCACUCGGGCACAGGACACAGCGCUUGGGGAGAAGAGCAUGUUUUACUGCAGCUUCCCGUCCAGAAUCCCUCCCAGGGACGCCAAGUGGUUCUAGGUGGCGUGAGAGAUUUUCUUCGACACUUUUAUCCGCGACAGCACAUUCGAACAACCGUGGAACGCCACAGACUUUUCCACGACCUCCCCUCCCGUUCCUCCAAGAAGCUACCAGGCAGGAUACUCGGUCUUCAACUGUACAAUUCACCCCUCUUCGUGGACAGUGUGGCUGUGAGUAGGGGUGAGGCUGCGGGUUGGGGGAGUUUGGGGACUGUGAUUUCAGGCCAACACCCCGUCUUUACAAAAUUAAAUACUCAGCAUCCUUUUCAUGCCAUAAUUGGUGACCUCGGGGUCUGUUAAGCACCACCUACCCCACUGUUUCCAGCCUCUCUCUCUUCUUUGCAGUAAAUGCUGGUGAACUAACCUGUGUGCAAAGACACUUUUUGGGUGCGUGCAGAAACCCAGGCAACAUCUUUGCAAGAUUGAUGUCUUUAAAAGCCCUAAUAAUCUCUUCUCAUCGGCUGAUGAGUUUCGACAGCCCAAUGGUGAUCGAUCUGCUCUACAGCUUUUAAACAGAGCUGCUGGCUUCUAGAGUAACUUCACAGAUCGAGCCCUAGAUGAGGAUUUGCUCCAUAGGGUCGGCCCGUCCCCAGUGAUUGCUCAGGAAGGCCCAUCCCCCUGCUGGCCCUGGCCAUCUCCCGCGGGAAGAAACGUCGUAGGGCUGAGGGGUUAGACAGGCCUUCAGUACCAUGGAGCUGGAGGCAAAGGGUUAAGUUUGGGGGUGUCAGAUCUUUGAGACUCCCUAAGACCCCUGCUCGCCCCCACCCCCUUAUUCCCAACUCUUGAGAAUCUACGUAGAAUGGUGGAGUGGGCCUCGCUAGGACCAGAAGGCCAGCCGUUGUACCAGCCUGGCGCUGACGUUCUCUGGAACCUACGAUCAGAAGGCCUGAGGUUUGGAGGCCAAGGAGCAAGACCAGUCUUCAUCUUGGUCAGCCGCAGGGUCAACUGGAUGGCAGGGAUA